CCUGCCCCUACAGGCAUUGCACAUGUAGUUGCCAUGCCACAUGUGUGUCAGUAGCUGGCACAGAAGAGAAAUGCUAUGUCUAGGCCCGGUGUUCUGACCUAUGAAAAUCUGAAUGAUUAGUAGCCUAACACU
This is a small nucleolar RNA of Meriones unguiculatus (Mongolian gerbil), 132 nucleotides long. NCBI's taxonomy places the organism in Eukaryota, Metazoa, Chordata, Mammalia, Rodentia, Muridae. The record is from Ensembl.